RNAcentral lists this ribosomal RNA (1019 nucleotides) under uncultured bacterium. RNAcentral's name for it is "bacterial SSU rRNA". It matches the Rfam family "Bacterial small subunit ribosomal RNA", at positions 25 to 1041 of the family's 1533-position model. The record is from RNAcentral.
CAGAUUGAACGCUGGCGGCAGGCCUAACACAUGCAAGUCGAGCGGUAACAGAAAGUAGCUUGCUACUUUGCUGACGAGCGGCGGACGGGUGAGUAAUGCUUGGGAACAUGCCUUGAGGUGGGGGACAACAGUUGGAAACGACUGCUAAUACCGCAUAAUGUCUACGGACCAAAGGGGGCUUCGGCUCUCGCCUUUAGAUUGGCCCAAGUGGGAUUAGCUAGUUGGUGAGGUAAUGGCUCACCAAGGCGACGAUCCCUAGCUGGUUUGAGAGGAUGAUCAGCCACACUGGGACUGAGACACGGCCCAGACUCCUACGGGAGGCAGCAGUGGGGAAUAUUGCACAAUGGGCGCAAGCCUGAUGCAGCCAUGCCGCGUGUGUGAAGAAGGCCUUCGGGUUGUAAAGCACUUUCAGUCAGGAGGAAAGGUUAGUAGUUAAUACCUGCUAGCUGUGACGUUACUGACAGAAGAAGCACCGGCUAACUCCGUGCCAGCAGCCGCGGUAAUACGGAGGGUGCGAGCGUUAAUCGGAAUUACUGGGCGUAAAGCGUACGCAGGCGGUUUGUUAAGCGAGAUGUGAAAGCCCCGGGCUCAACCUGGGAACUGCAUUUCGAACUGGCAAACUAGAGUGUGAUAGAGGGUGGUAGAAUUUCAGGUGUAGCGGUGAAAUGCGUAGAGAUCUGAAGGAAUACCGAUGGCGAAGGCAGCCACCUGGUCAACACUGACGCUCAUGUACGAAAGCGUGGGGAGCAAGCAGGAUUAGAUACCCUGGUAGUCCACGCCGUAAACGAUGUCUACUAGAAGCUCGGAACCUCGGUUCUGUUUUUCAAAGCUAACGCAUUAAGUAGACCGCCUGGGGAGUACGGCCGCAAGGUCAAAACUCAAAUGAAUUGACGGGGGCCCGCACAAGCGGUGGAGCAUGUGGUUUAAUUCGAUGCAACGCGAAGAACCUUACCUACACUUGACAUACAGAGAACUUACUAGAGAUAGUUUGGUGCCUUCGGGAACUCUGAUACAGGUGC